UUCAGGAGAACGCUGGCGGCGUGCCUAAUACAUGCAGUCGAGCGAAUGGAUUAAGAGCUUGCUCUUAUGAAGUAGCGGCGGACGGGUGAGUAACACGUGGGUAACCUGCCCAUAAGACUGGGAUAACUCCGGGAAACCGGGGCUAAUACCGGAUAACAUUUUGAACCGCAUGGUUCGAAAUUGAAAGGCGGCUUCGGCUGUCACUUAUGGAUGGACCCGCGUCGCAUUAGCUAGUUGGUGAGGUAACGGCUCACCAAGGCAACGAUGCGUAGCCGACCUGAGAGGGUGAUCGGCCACACUGGGACUGAGACACGGCCCAGACUCCUACGGGAGGCAGCAGUAGGGAAUCUUCCGCAAUGGACGAAAGUCUGACGGAGCAACGCCGCGUGAGUGAUGAAGGCUUUCGGGUCGUAAAACUCUGUUGUUAGGGAAGAACAAGUGCUAGUUGAAUAAGCUGGCACCUUGACGGUACCUAACCAGAAAGCCACGGCUAACUACGUGCCAGCAGCCGCGGUAAUACGUAGGUGGCAAGCGUUAUCCGGAAUUAUUGGGCGUAAAGCGCGCGCAGGUGGUUUCUUAAGUCUGAUGUGAAAGCCCACGGCUCAACCGUGGAGGGUCAUUGGAAACUGGGAGACUUGAGUGCAGAAGAGGAAAGUGGAAUUCCAUGUGUAGCGGUGAAAUGCGUAGAGAUAUGGAGGAACACCAGUGGCGAAGGCGACUUUCUGGUCUGUAACUGACACUGAGGCGCGAAAGCGUGGGGAGCAAAGGAUG
RNAcentral lists this ribosomal RNA (771 nucleotides) under Bacillus cereus. Its description in RNAcentral is "bacterial SSU rRNA". It matches the Rfam family "Bacterial small subunit ribosomal RNA", at positions 23 to 779 of the family's 1533-position model. Lineage: Bacteria; Bacillati; Bacillota; Bacilli; Caryophanales; Bacillaceae. The record is from RNAcentral.